UUAACUCAAAUUUGUAUGGAGUUGGAACGCUACCUACGUUUGCCGCUAGGGGCGCUGUUCCAACUGCAUACUGCAAAUUUGAGUUA
Non-coding RNA from Bombyx mori (domestic silkworm), 86 nucleotides. NCBI's taxonomy places the organism in Eukaryota, Metazoa, Arthropoda, Insecta, Lepidoptera, Bombycidae. The record is from Rfam.